CAAGUCGUGGGGCAGCAGCUCUGUAGCAAUACAGAGGCUGGCGACCGGCAAACGGGUGCGGAACACGUACAGAACCUUCCUUCGAGCGGGGAAUAGCCCGGAGAAAUCCGGAUUAAUACCCCAUAGCAAAUCAGAAAGGCAUCUUUUUGAUUUUAAAGAUUUAUCACUUGAAGAUGGCUGUGCGCCUGAUUAGGUAGUUGGCGGGGUAACGGCCCACCAAGCCUUCGAUCAGUAACUGGUGUGAGAGCACGACCAGUCACACGGGCACUGAGACACGGGCCCGACUCCUACGGGAGGCAGCAGUAAGGAAUAUUGGUCAAUGGACGCAAGUCUGAACCAGCCAUGCCGCGUGGAGGAUGAAGGUCCUCUGGAUUGUAAACUUCUUUUAUCUGGGAAGAAACCCACGGUUUCUACUGUGGUUGACGGUACCAGAUGAAUAAGCACCGGCUAACUCCGUGCCAGCAGCCGCGGUAAUACGGAGGGUGCAAGCGUUAUCCGGAUUCACUGGGUUUAAAGGGUGCGUAGGUGGGUUGGUAAGUCAGUGGUGAAAUCCCCGAGCUUAACUUGGGAACUGCCAUUGAUACUAUCAGUCUUGAAUAUUGUGGAGGUUAGCGGAAUAUGUCAUGUAGCGGUGAAAUGCUUAGAGAUGACAUAGAACACCAAUUGCGAAGGCAGCUGGCUACACAUAUAUUGACACUGAGGCACGAAAGCGUGGGGAUCAAACAGGAUUAGAUACCCUGGUAGUCCACGCCCUAAACUAUGGAUACUCGACAUACGCGAUACACUGUGUGUGUCUGAGCGAAAGCAUUAAGUAUCCCACCUGGGAAGUACGAUCGCAAGAUUGAAACUCAAAGGAAUUGGCGGGGGUCCGCACAAGCGGUGGA
RNAcentral lists this ribosomal RNA (884 nucleotides) under uncultured Flavobacteriales bacterium. Its description in RNAcentral is "bacterial SSU rRNA". It matches the Rfam family "Bacterial small subunit ribosomal RNA", at positions 58 to 936 of the family's 1533-position model. The record is from RNAcentral. Lineage: Bacteria; Pseudomonadati; Bacteroidota; Flavobacteriia; Flavobacteriales.